UUCGCAAUGCCCGAAAGGGUGACGAAGCGACGCCGCGUGUGGGAAGAAGGCCUUCGGGUUGUAAACCACUGUCGGGAGUUAAGAAAUGCAAGGAUAUGAAUAGUGUCGUUGCUUGACUAAGGCUCCGGAGGAAGCCACGGCUAACUCUGUGCCAGCAGCCGCGGUAAUACAGAGGCGGCAAGCGUUGUUCGGAAUUAUUGGGCGUAAAGAGCACGUAGGCGGCUAUGUAAGUCGGUUGUGAAAGCCUUCCGCUCAACGGGAGAACAGCAUCCGAUACUACAUGGCUUGAGUGCGGGAGGGGAGAGUGGAACUUCUGGUGGAGCGGUGAAAUGCGUAGAUAUCAGAAGGAACGCCGGCGGCGAAAGCGGCUCUCUGGCCCAUAACUGACGCUGAGUGUGCGAAAGCUAGGGGAGCAAACGGGAUUAGAUACCCCGGUAGUCCUAGCCGUAAACGAUGGGCACUAAGUAGAGGGGUUUU
Molecule: ribosomal RNA, 477 nt
Filed under: uncultured bacterium
Lineage: Bacteria
Description: bacterial SSU rRNA
Rfam family: Bacterial small subunit ribosomal RNA
Source: RNAcentral